AUAGUUAUCUUGCAGGGGAGACACCAUGAUCACGAAGGUGGUUUUCCCAGGGUGAGGCUCAUCCAUUGCGACCUUUGCGAUUUCCCCAAAUGCGGGAAACUCGACUGCAUAAUUUGUGGUAGUUAAGAAGAUAC
RNAcentral lists this small nuclear RNA (134 nucleotides) under Naja naja (Indian cobra). RNAcentral's name for it is "U1 spliceosomal RNA (ENSNNAG00000004163.1)". It matches the Rfam family "U1 spliceosomal RNA", at positions 1 to 149 of the family's 166-position model. From Rfam's summary of the family: U1 is a small nuclear RNA (snRNA) component of the spliceosome (involved in pre-mRNA splicing). The record is from Rfam by way of RNAcentral. Lineage: Eukaryota; Metazoa; Chordata; Lepidosauria; Squamata; Elapidae.